This 72-nucleotide transfer RNA is filed under the name Salix viminalis (osier). The record is from RNAcentral. Lineage: Eukaryota; Viridiplantae; Streptophyta; Magnoliopsida; Malpighiales; Salicaceae.
GUAGCUUUGGCCGAGUGGUUGACCGCGCGCUGCCAACAUCGGCGCUCGCGAGUUCGAACCGCUCAGACAACA